UGGGGAAUAUUGCACAAUGGGCGCAAGCCUGAUGCAGCCAUGCCGCGUGUGUGAAGAAGGCCUUCGGGUUGUAAAGCACUUUCAGUUGUGAGGAAAGGUUAGUAGUUAAUACCUGCUAGCUGUGACGUUAGCAACAGAAGAAGCACCGGCUAACUCCGUGCCAGCAGCCGCGGUAAUACGGAGGGUGCGAGCGUUAAUCGGAAUUACUGGGCGUAAAGCGUACGCAGGCGGUUGAUUAAGCGAGAUGUGAAAUCCCUGGGCUUAACCCAGGAACUGCAUUUCGAACUGGUCAACUAGAGUAUGAGAGAGGGUGGUAGAAUUUCAGGUGUAGCGGUGAAAUGCGUAGAGAUCUGAAGGAAUACCGAUGGCGAAGGCAGCCACCUGGUUCAAUACUGACGCUCAUGUACGAAAGCGUGGGGAGCAAACAGG
RNAcentral lists this ribosomal RNA (429 nucleotides) under uncultured bacterium. Its description in RNAcentral is "bacterial SSU rRNA". It matches the Rfam family "Bacterial small subunit ribosomal RNA", at positions 355 to 776 of the family's 1533-position model. The record is from RNAcentral.